GGAUGUGAGGGCAAUAUGUCUAUGACAUCUGUCACCCCAUGUGAUUGCCAGUGUUGACUUGGCUGAUCUGGCUUGUGAGGACCGUGUCCACUUCCUCCCUCACUGCUGCAUAUGCAUCCCUGACUGGUCUUCUGUUAAGGGUAUAUAUGAAGCUGUGCUUCCCUGCUAGAACCUCCAAACAAGCUGUCAAAGUUAAGUCGUUGGUCAUUGGUGACUGAACUCAAUCUUAAGCUCCCAAUAUUCCUCCCAUAAAGAAGUAUGAAGGAUGGGGGCUAUU
Dipodomys ordii (Ord's kangaroo rat) is the source of this 277-nucleotide unclassified non-coding RNA. Its record names the gene 7SK. It matches the Rfam family "7SK RNA". From Rfam's summary of the family: 7SK was discovered as an abundant small nuclear RNA in the mid-70s but a possible function has only recently been suggested. Two independent studies have found that 7SK RNA binds the CDK9/cyclin T complex (known as elongation factor P-TEFb). Lineage: Eukaryota; Metazoa; Chordata; Mammalia; Rodentia; Heteromyidae. The record is from Ensembl.